This 253-nucleotide ribosomal RNA is filed under the name uncultured bacterium. RNAcentral describes it as "partial 16S ribosomal RNA". It matches the Rfam family "Bacterial small subunit ribosomal RNA", at positions 524 to 776 of the family's 1533-position model. The record is from RNAcentral.
UACGUAGGGUGCAAGCGUUGUCCGGAAUUAUUGGGCGUAAAGGGCUCGUAGGCGGCCAACUAAGUCGGAUGUGAAAUCCCCAGGCUUAACCUGGGAACUGCAUCCGAUACUGGAUGGCUUGAAUCCGGGAGAGGGAUGCAGAAUUCCAGGUGUAGCGGUGAAAUGCGUAGAUAUCUGGAGGAAUACCGGUGGCGAAGGCGGCAUCCUGGACCGGCAUUGACGCUGAUGAGCGAAAGCUAGGGGAGCAAACGGG